Molecule: long non-coding RNA, 2441 nt
Organism: Myotis brandtii (Brandt's bat)
Lineage: Eukaryota; Metazoa; Chordata; Mammalia; Chiroptera; Vespertilionidae
Exons: 3
Source: RefSeq, a predicted model, not a curated record
CGACUCCCAAAGGGGUCGGACCCACAGGUUGAGAACCACUGGUCUAAAAGGAGUGUGGCUAGUGCACAAGAGAUUCCCAUUCCUCUCUCGGGCGUGGAGUCACCGCAGGGACAUCCUCACCUGUGGACGCUUCUCAAGUUGGUGGUGUGAUUAUUCCCAUUUCAUAGAGAAGCAACAGUCAAGGUGACAUGGGUCAGAGUGAGAAGCUGAAGGGUCACUUUUAUCUUGUCAAUGGGCUCUCCAUGCUCCAAAUCCCAGCAUUAUCCUUGAUGCCCCCAUCUCUCCUUCCCCUCCUCCAACACGAAGCCCUAUCAAGUUUGUCUUUUACGUUUCUCUCAAGGUCAUUUCCCACUUUUCUAUCCCACUGCCCUAACCCUAAUCCAAGUCUCUGGCACCAUCAUUUCGCAACCAGUUCACGUCAUAACGUUCACCCCAUUCUGCCUUACAGUCUAUCUUAGUCAAUGUGAGCUUGGAAAAGUCCAAGACUAGUCACGUCUCCUCUGUAUCAAAUGCAGGCGGUGCGGCCAGGUCAGAAGUCAGAGACAGAGGGGUGACUGGGGUGUGAGAUGUCACACUGACGGGGUGUGGAACAAGGUUUAAAGAUUGACUCAUACAACUACAUACUGAAUAUAAAAAGUCAAGUUUCCUAAUUGAGGCUGUAAUUUCGUAGUUAGGUUUAGAUAGGAUAAGAACUCUCCUAAGUGGCAUUUAAAGGCACCUCACCUCAGAUGUGGACUCAAUUCUACAGAACAGAACUUACCUUCUCCAGUACCUCUUUUCGGUAUGUCAGCAUCUAAAUUGAGCCUCUGUGGGGUGGUGUGAUUGCGCUUGUCCUAAAUUUCAGUAAGCGUGCUUUUUUAUCUUUUCAUUUCAGACAAUCUCCAGCAUCCACAGAAGUAGAACAGUGUAAUGAACUGAGGGCCCAUUCAUCCGUUUUCACAAUGAUCCACUGAGGGCCAAUCCUGUCGCACAUGCACCCCACCCCCGCCCGCCCCCAUUAUUUUGAAGCAAACCCCAGAGACCGUGUGGCUUUCCCCUGUGAACAGUAAAUGUGUUCUUAGUGCCAUUUCCAGCGUUGCAUAUACGCCUGCCAUGUUGGUCCUGCGAAAAGCUACGAAGUCACAGUUAAUGAGAAACCUGGGGAAUGGGGAGUUCUGAUUGAUCAGAUUUUUCUGUUUCACCGAAUUAUUAGCUAGAAAACCCUUAUUGUUUAAAAAGGGGAAAGGCUUUCUAAGAUAAGCGUCUACUUUCCUGCCUUAAUAGGUAUGGUACAGCAAACAAUCUAAUCUCUUCAUCUAGUCUGACUGAUUUUCGCUCCUGGGGGAAGUGACCCAACAGGGCUAGUUGUUUCCAUUACAGAUUUGUGGUGGCAGCGGGGCCUGGGUGACAGGGAUUACAGUCUUUCCCACCUGCCCCUCACCUGCCUCUGAAGCCCAGACUCCAACCCGUUGGGGUCUCCUGAGUCCCCAGCCCACUCAACAGUGUAACUGCACAACCCAUACUGUACCUCUUCCCCCAACACCCGCCACGAGUUUACCCAAUUUUUCGCUCUUUCCUCCAGUCUUUGACCAAGGAGAGUGUGAGCUGAAAGCGGAAUCUGCACUCAGCUCAGGGAACCCAACAGGGACUGUAUUGGAGACACAACAAAACCUCAGGGAGCAGACCUGCCUGGGUCGGCCCGCUCGCCCAGCCCAACCUGCUCCCGCAGGCUUGGCUGCCAAUAACCCCUUUGCAUGGAGAAUCCCAUCCUGGUGCCUACUUCUGGGAAGACUUGGAUUCACACAGAUUAUCACCCAGAGGAAUUCUAAUUAUGUAGGAGUCCUCAUUGGUGACGUUCCAGGUGACUUGGGAUUUGUCACCCUGGUCACCUGUGAGCAUCUCUGCCCCAUGUUGCCACUUUCAGGAAAGGUGAGAACGAAUCGUUUUGUUUUUCUUUUCUAUUAUACUGUGGUAGGUGGUUUUGAUUUAAAGGAGUAAAUCAGGCCCUAAUCUCUUCCCUCAUCUCCCCUCCAAAUGCUUCUCUUUCUGAGAAAUGGGGAAAGUAGGCAUCGAGCAGUGUCACCAGCUGGUGGGCCACCUGCGUCAGGCCUCACUGAUCCCAUCUCACUCAGCCAUCGAAAGGAAGGAAUGAAGCACCACACCUGCUACCAUGUGGGUGGCCCUUGAGACCACGAUGCUGAGCGAGAGACGCCAGACACAGAGGGCCAUGUAGUGUGUGAUUCCGUGGACAGGACGCAGCAGGUGCCCAGAGACAGAAAGCCGAUCAGUGGUCUUAGAGCCCAAGGGGUGGGGAGUGGGGGGUGACUGCUAACGGGUGCUGGUUUCUUUUCGGGGUGAUGAAAAUGUCCCAGAGUUAGUGAUGACGGUUGCACAACUUGGUGACUAUACUAAAAAAGACGUCGAGCCCAACCGGCAUGGCUCAGUGGUUGAGGGUCGACCUA